This 445-nucleotide ribosomal RNA is filed under the name uncultured bacterium. RNAcentral describes it as "bacterial SSU rRNA". It matches the Rfam family "Bacterial small subunit ribosomal RNA", at positions 29 to 469 of the family's 1533-position model. The record is from RNAcentral.
AUUGAACGCUGGCGGCAUGCUUUACACAUGCAAGUCGAACGGCAGCACAGGGAGCUUGCUCCCGGGUGGCGAGUGGCGCACGGGUGAGUAAUACAUCGGAACGUGUCCUGUUGUGGGGGAUAACUGCUCGAAAGGGUGGCUAAUACCGCAUGAGACCUGAGGGUGAAAGCGGGGGAUCGCAAGACCUCGCGCAAUUGGAGCGGCCGAUGCCCGAUUAGCUAGUUGGUGAGGUAAAGGCUCACCAAGGCGACGAUCGGUAGCUGGUCUGAGAGGACGACCAGCCACACUGGGACUGAGACACGGCCCAGACUCCUACGGGAGGCAGCAGUGGGGAAUUUUGGACAAUGGGGGCAACCCUGAUCCAGCCAUGCCGCGUGAAGGACUAAGGCCCUACGGGUCGUAAACUUCUUUAGACGCAGAGCAAUAAGGUCCACGCGUGGACCGA